Molecule: ribosomal RNA, 1392 nt
Filed under: Escherichia coli
Lineage: Bacteria; Pseudomonadati; Pseudomonadota; Gammaproteobacteria; Enterobacterales; Enterobacteriaceae
Description: partial 23S ribosomal RNA
Rfam family: Bacterial large subunit ribosomal RNA
Source: RNAcentral
AUAAUGGGUCAGCGACUUAUAUUCUGUAGCAAGGUUAACCGAAUAGGGGAGCCGAAGGGAAACCGAGUCUUAACUGGGCGUUAAGUUGCAGGGUAUAGACCCGAAACCCGGUGAUCUAGCCAUGGGCAGGUUGAAGGUUGGGUAACACUAACUGGAGGACCGAACCGACUAAUGUUGAAAAAUUAGCGGAUGACUUGUGGCUGGGGGUGAAAGGCCAAUCAAACCGGGAGAUAGCUGGUUCUCCCCGAAAGCUAUUUAGGUAGCGCCUCGUGAAUUCAUCUCCGGGGGUAGAGCACUGUUUCGGCAAGGGGGUCAUCCCGACUUACCAACCCGAUGCAAACUGCGAAUACCGGAGAAUGUUAUCACGGGAGACACACGGCGGGUGCUAACGUCCGUCGUGAAGAGGGAAACAACCCAGACCGCCAGCUAAGGUCCCAAAGUCAUGGUUAAGUGGGAAACGAUGUGGGAAGGCCCAGACAGCCAGGAUGUUGGCUUAGAAGCAGCCAUCAUUUAAAGAAAGCGUAAUAGCUCACUGGUCGAGUCGGCCUGCGCGGAAGAUGUAACGGGGCUAAACCAUGCACCGAAGCUGCGGCAGCGACGCUGAUGCGUUGUUGGGUAGGGGAGCGUUCUGUAAGCCUGCGAAGGUGUGCUGUGAGGCAUGCUGGAGGUAUCAGAAGUGCGAAUGCUGACAUAAGUAACGAUAAAGCGGGUGAAAAGCCCGCUCGCCGGAAGACCAAGGGUUCCUGUCCAACGUUAAUCGGGGCAGGGUGAGUCGACCCCUAAGGCGAGGCCGAAAGGCGUAGUCGAUGGGAAACAGGUUAAUAUUCCUGUACUUGGUGUUACUGCGAAGGGGGGACGGAGAAGGCUAUGUUGGCCGGGCGACGGUUGUCCCGGUUUAAGCGUGUAGGCUGGUUUUCCAGGCAAAUCCGGAAAAUCAAGGCUGAGGCGUGAUGACGAGGCACUACGGUGCUGAAGCAACAAAUGCCCUGCUUCCAGGAAAAGCCUCUAAGCAUCAGGUAACAUCAAAUCGUACCCCAAACCGACACAGGUGGUCAGGUAGAGAAUACCAAGGCGCUUGAGAGAACUCGGGUGAAGGAACUAGGCAAAAUGGUGCCGUAACUUCGGGAGAAGGCACGCUGAUAUGUAGGUGAAGUCCCUCGCGGAUGGAGCUGAAAUCAGUCGAAGAUACCAGCUGGCUGCAACUGUUUAUUAAAAACACAGCACUGUGCAAACACGAAAGUGGACGUAUACGGUGUGACGCCUGCCCGGUGCCGGAAGGUUAAUUGAUGGGGUCAGCGCAAGCGAAGCUCUUGAUCGAAGCCCCGGUAAACGGCGGCCGUAACUAUAACGGUCCUAAGGUAGCGAAAUUCCUUGUCGGGUAAGUUCCGACCU